RNAcentral lists this microRNA precursor (104 nucleotides) under Marmota monax (woodchuck). Lineage: Eukaryota; Metazoa; Chordata; Mammalia; Rodentia; Sciuridae. The record is from RNAcentral.
CAUGGGAUAGCUGGGUCAAAUGGUGGUUCUAUUUCUAGUUUUCUGAGGAAUCUCCAUACUGCUUUCCAGAUUGGUUGCACCAAUUUUACAUUCCCACCAGUAAU